ACACGACCGUACCGCAAACCGACACUGGUGCGCGAGAUGAGUAUUCUAAGGCGCUUGAGAGAACUCAGGAGAAGGAACUCGGCAAAUUGACACCGUAACUUCGGAAGAAGGUGUGCCUUUAGUAGGUGAAGUCCCUCGCGGAUGGAGCCCAAUGAGGUUGCAAAAAAUCGGUGGCUGCGACUGUUUAUUAAAAACACAGCACUCUGCAAACACGAAAGUGGACGCAUAGGGUGUGACGCCUGCCCGGUGCUGGAAGAUUAAAUGAUGGGGUGCAAGCUCUUGAUUGAAGUCCCAGUAAACGGCGGCCGUAACAAUAACGGUCCUAAGGUAGCGAAAUUCCUUGUCGGGUAAGUUCCGACCUGCACGAAUGGCGUAACGAUGGCCACACUGUCUCCUCCUGAGACUCAGCGAAGUUGAAAUGUUUGUGAUGAUGCAAUCUCCCCGCGGAAAGACGGAAAGACCCCAUGAACCUUUACUGUAGCUUUGUAUUGGACUUUGAACAGAUCUGUGUAGGAUAGGUGGGAGGCUUUGAAGCAGGGUCGCUAGAUCUUGUGGAGCCAACGUUGAGAUACCACCCUGGUGUGUUUGAGGUUCUAACCUAGGCCCGUAAUCCGGGUUGGGGACAGUGCAUGGUAGGCAGUUUGACUGGGGCGGUCUCCUCCCAAAGUGUAACCGAGGAGUUCGAAGGUACGCUAGUUACGGUCGGACAUCGUGACGAUAGUGCAAUGGCAUAAGCGUGCUUAACUGCGAGACUGACAAGUCGAGCAGAUGCGAAAGCAGGACAUAGUGAUCCGGUGGUUCUGUAUGGAAGGGCCAUCGCUCAACGGAUAAAAGGUACUCUGGAUAACAGGCUGAUACCGCCCAAGAGUUCAUAUCGACGGCGGUGUUUGGCACCUCGAUGUCGGCUCAUCUCAUCCUGGGGCUGUAGCCGGUCCCAAGGGUAUGGCUGUUCGCCAUUUAAAGAGGUACGUGAGCUGGGUUUAAAACGUCGUGAGACAGUUUGGUCCCUAUCUUCCGUGGGCGCUGCAGAUUUGAGGAAGCCUGCUCCUAGUACGAGAGGACCGGAGUGGACGCACCUCUGGUGUAUCGGUUGUCACGCCAGUGGCAUUGCCGAGUAGCUAUGUGCGGAAGAGAUAACCGGUGAAAGCAUCUAAGCGGGAAACUCGUUUCAAGAUGAGAUCUGCCGGGGCCUUGAGCCCCCUGAAGAGUCGUUCAAGACCAGGACGUUGAUAGGUCGGGUGUGGAAGCGCAGUAAUGCGUUAAGCUAACCGAUACUAAUUGCUCGUGCGGCUUGACC
RNAcentral lists this ribosomal RNA (1297 nucleotides) under metagenome. Its description in RNAcentral is "bacterial LSU rRNA". It matches the Rfam family "Bacterial large subunit ribosomal RNA", at positions 1636 to 2925 of the family's 2925-position model. The record is from RNAcentral.